This 556-nucleotide ribosomal RNA is filed under the name Mantophryne sp. LAO-2013a. Its description in RNAcentral is "partial 12S ribosomal RNA". The stretch from base 1 to 367 matches the Rfam family "Bacterial small subunit ribosomal RNA", at positions 966 to 1533 of the family's 1533-position model. The record is from RNAcentral. Lineage: Eukaryota; Metazoa; Chordata; Amphibia; Anura; Microhylidae.
CCACCACCUUUUGAAUACACAGCCUGUAUACCUCCGUCGCAAGCUUACCCUGUGAAUGUAUUUAGUGAGCCCAAUGAUUUAACACCCACACGUCAGGUCAAGGUGCAGCCUACAAGGCGGAAAGAAAUGGGCUACAAUCUCUACUUUAGAACAAACGAAAGACUAUAUGAAACACAGUCAUUGAAGGCGGAUUUAGCAGUAAAAAGAAAAUAGAGAGUUCUUUUUAAUUAGGCACUGGGACGCGUACACACCGCCCGUCACCCUCUUCAAACCACAAUAUUAUGUAACUAACACCACAUGCUACUAUAGAAGAGGUAAGUCGUAACAUGGUAAGCGUACUGGAAAGUGCGCUUGGAAUAACAAAAUGUAGCUUAAUAAAAGUAUCCUGCUUACACCAAGAACAUGUCUGUGAAAUUCUGACCAUUUUGAGCUUAAACCCCAGCCCACCCAUUAAACUAUUAACAAAAUUUUUCUUCUAAAAUUAAUAAAACAUUUUUUCAACCUAGUAAAGGCGAUUAAAAAGUACCUAGGAGCCUCAACAUCAGUACCGAAAGGG